UUUUGGGCCAUCCUGGGCUUUAUUGGCCGUGGGACCCCGAAGCCACCCCACAAAGCCAACUGGGGACGGACACGAGGACGGGCUGGGGACACCGCGGGGACCCGGGGGGUCUGGAGGACAUCUGGGAAGGUUCUGGAGAACAGUGGGUGAUCCUGGAGGUGCCCUGGAGGCCACGGGAAGAUUCUGGAGAAUGUUGGGUGAUCCUGGAGGCUGUGGGGAGGUUCUGGAGAACACUGGGUGAUCCUGGAGGCCACUGAGAUCUCCUGGAGGCCACAGGAAUCUUCUGGAGGCCAUGGGAUAAGUUCUGGAGAACGUUGGGUGAUCCUGGAGGCCACUGAGAUGUCCUGAAGGAUGUUGAGUGAUCCUGGAGGCCGUUGGGAGGUUCUGGAGAACGCUGGGUGAUCCUGGAGGCCACUGAGAUCUCCUGGAGGCCACAGGACUCUUCUGGAGGCCAUGGGAUAAGUUCUGGAGAACGUUGGGUGAUCCUGGAGGUGUCCUGGAGGCCACGGGAAGGUUCUGGAGAACGUUGGGCGAUCCUGGAGGCCACGGGAGGGUCCUGGAGAUUAUGGGAAGGUUCUGGAGAACACUGGGCGAUCCUGGAAUCCCCUGAGAUCUCCUGGAGGAUGUUGGGUGAUCCUGGAGGCCAUGGGAAGCUUCUGGAGGCCAUGGGAAGGUUCUGGAGAGCGCUGGGUGAUCCUGGAGGUUCUGGAGGUCCUGGGAAGGUUCUGGAGAACGCUGGAUGAUCCUGGAGGCCAUGGGGGAGGUUCUGGAGAA
This is a long non-coding RNA of Motacilla alba alba, 774 nucleotides long. RefSeq lists it as uncharacterized. The record is from RefSeq and is a predicted model, not a curated record. NCBI's taxonomy places the organism in Eukaryota, Metazoa, Chordata, Aves, Passeriformes, Motacillidae. The transcript is spliced from 3 exons.